This 514-nucleotide ribosomal RNA is filed under the name bacterium enrichment culture clone ALO1_GLFRUDD03F4X2C. RNAcentral's name for it is "bacterial SSU rRNA". It matches the Rfam family "Bacterial small subunit ribosomal RNA", at positions 9 to 517 of the family's 1533-position model. The record is from RNAcentral.
GAGUUUGAUCCUGGCUCAGAUUGAACGCUGGCGGCAGGCCUAACACAUGCAAGUCGAGCGGAUGACGGGAGCUUGCUCCUUGAUUCAGCGGCGGACGGGUGAGUAAUGCCUAGGAAUCUGCCUGGUAGUGGGGGACAACGUUUCGAAAGGAACGCUAAUACCGCAUACGUCCUACGGGAGAAAGCAGGGGACCUUCGGGCCUUGCGCUAUCAGAUGGGCCUAGGUCGGAUUAGCUAGUUGGUGGGGUAAUGGCUCACCAAGGCGACGAUCCGUAACUGGUCUGAGAGGAUGAUCAGUCACACUGGAACUGAGACACGGUCCAGACUCCUACGGGAGGCAGCAGUGGGGAAUAUUGGACAAUGGGCGAAAGCCUGAUCCAGCCAUGCCGCGUGUGUGAAGAAGGUCUUCGGAUUGUAAAGCACUUUAAGUUGGGAGGAAGGGCAGUAAGUUAAUACCUUGCUGUUUUGACGUUUACCGACAGAAUAAGCACCGGCUAACUCUGUGCCAGCCGCCG